This is a long non-coding RNA of Piliocolobus tephrosceles (Ugandan red Colobus), 880 nucleotides long. RefSeq lists it as uncharacterized. The record is from RefSeq and is a predicted model, not a curated record. NCBI's taxonomy places the organism in Eukaryota, Metazoa, Chordata, Mammalia, Primates, Cercopithecidae. The transcript has 3 exons.
CAGCUGGACGGGAACCACCGCCCUCCCGCGGGGCUAGGGUCACCCUGCCGGGACACGCAAGGAAAACCCAAACAUUCCCGCCUCCGAGAUCGAACGAAUGGACCGCGGUGAUUUAACUACGAGAAUCACCGGGCGCUCUUCGGGCUGAUCAAUACCUCGUCUGACCUAGAUGGGUUUGGUCGCCGCCACUGGCCGGAGCGCCGAAGCACCGGGGACGCGGACACACAGGGAAUAAGACAUGGACACCUUUGAGAGGUCAUUUUUCUGCUCACCACAAGGCCCCAAGGAAAUGGAAGAGGAUGCUAAUGGAGGGACCCACUGGCACCCAUUGAGUUGUCUCCAGACGCAGCUUUGAGACGAACCACAGAUGUGUUUCCUGUUGUCUUGAAAUAUGCCUUUGAAUGUGCUUUAACACUCUAUUCCCUUCCCUUUCCCACCUUAUGCUCCCAUGCCUUAUGCACAUUUGUUUACCUGGAUGCUAGUUAAGCUCACAUCAUACUCACUUACCUGGUCAUAUAUUUCUUUAGAAGCUUCAGGGGCCUAAUCCUGACACAAAAACAGGCACUUCUGGGAUUCUCUCCCCAGCCGGAGAUUACUUCUAGGCCAGAGUUCACUCCCAGCUAGAUAUUGACUACAGGACUGACUGGGAUUGAUUUGUAACUUGGAUGAGCCCAUGAAGGUGCUGGCCCCCUCACCAGAUGGAACAAUAAUUCAAGAUAAGCUACUGGGGCAAGCCCACGCCACCUGGCACCUACUGGCCCCCUUGCCUCUCCUGCAUUCAAAGCCCCUCUUCUGAAACCCCUGCCCUCUCUCCAGAAAUUGUAUUCUGACCACUUUCCUCCUUGCUGGCAAUGGAUAAUAAAAUUCACUCUUUAUCAUA